Long non-coding RNA from Saccostrea cuccullata (small rock oyster), 896 nucleotides. RefSeq lists it as uncharacterized. Lineage: Eukaryota; Metazoa; Mollusca; Bivalvia; Ostreida; Ostreidae. The transcript is spliced from 3 exons. The record is from RefSeq and is a predicted model, not a curated record.
UUAAAGCUUAUCAACAUAAAAUAUAUAUUAAACAGUAUUUGUCCUAGAAGAAUCAAGAAAAAAAUCUGCAGGCAACUAAAGCAUUUAUAUAUGAUAACUGAUUUAAAUCCAUAAUUUUCUGUCUUUUUUGCUUCAAAUUACCUCCCUUUGGUAUAGCUCUCUAACAUAGGAGGAAUAAACGGUAGUUUGCUUACGUUGUUUUCAAUAACAGUGUACAGAAGACUAGAAGAAAAUUACAAACUUGGAGCAGUCUGAGCCUCAGUUUUGGCGUUUUCAUGAGUCUUAAUUACGAAUGAAAUUCGCCACUUUGAAGCCAAACUCGGAAAGAAGCAGAAACAGAAUUGGAUGAGCUGAUAUAGAAUUAGACAGGAAAAACGUAUUAUCAUUAUGAGAAUACAUCAUUACAGUACAGACCAUUGAUGCUGGAAGUGAGUGGAUAGUGUUACCGGAGACUCAGGGAUCCAGAAAAUAGAUCCAUAAAUUGUACAGUGUAUUCAUGAAAGUGGAUCAAAUAAAAAUGUUCAAUCCAAAAGUAACAUUCUUUGUUUGUCUGUUAGCAUUUUUUUAUUGAUGUAAAUCUAACAAGCUAAUUCAGAGAAUUUGUGUCCCCCGCUUAGGGAAAAAGUAAACCAUGCGCAGUUCGGGGCGGGGGUGGGGGUGGGGGGUCGGAUCCCCCUAAUUGAAUUUGUAGAAUUUUUAAAUGUAUACAUGUAUACUGAAGCAAAUAAAAUAUGUCAAUAUUGAUAUAAUGAUUUGAUUAUGUGUAUAGAAGGUUCAUUUUAUGUGGAUUAUUUAUCAUAACGUAAUGAUGAUUUUAUGAGUUUGUACAAGCUAGACCUCAUAAUUUUUUUUUCAUUUCACAUGCUGAAUACUAUCAUUUAGUAAAAAAAAAAGAA